UUCCAGCUCCAGUAGCGUAUAUUAAAGUUGUUGCAGUUAAGAAGCUCGUAGUUGGAUUUCUGUUCUCGAGGAUCGGUCCGCCUCACGGUGAGCACUGGUUUUUCUUGGGACAUCCUCUCGAAGGCGGGUGUGCACUUAAUUGUGUGCUGCUUGGAUUCGGGACCUUUACUUUGAAAAAAUCAGAGUGUUUCAAGCAGGCAUCAUCGCUCUUGCAUGGAUUAGCAUGGGAUAAUGAAAUAGGACCUUGGUGCUAUUUUGUUGGUUUGCAUUCCAAGGUAAUGAUUAAUAGGGAUAGUUGGGGGUAUUCGUAUUCAAUUGUCAGAGGUGAAGUUCUUGGAUUUAUGGAAGACGAACUACUGCGAAAGCAUUUACCAAGGAUGUUUUCAUCA
This 389-nucleotide ribosomal RNA is filed under the name Choanoflagellata sp. RNAcentral's name for it is "partial small subunit ribosomal RNA". It matches the Rfam family "Eukaryotic small subunit ribosomal RNA", at positions 583 to 975 of the family's 1831-position model. The record is from RNAcentral. Lineage: Eukaryota; Choanoflagellata.